CCUGACCCCAUAGUGUAAAACUCACUAUAUAGAACUAGACAUAUUGGAUAGACACCAUACCUGGAUGUAUUGGUGCCAGAGUUCCCUGACCCCAUAGUGUAAAACUCACUAUAUAGAACUAGACAUAUUGGAUAGACACCAUACCUGGAUGUAUUCGUGCCAGAGUUCCCUGACCCCAUAGUGUAAAACUCACUAUAUAGAACUAGACAUAUUGGAUAGACAUCAUACGUGGACGUAUUGGUGGCGGAGUUCCUUGACCCGCUCACUGUUCCUUUCAAAGGGAACUGUGUGCAACUGUUUCAUUCCAACUCUGUGUUCAAAUGUUUCAGGUAGCCUUCCACAAGCUUCCCACAAUAAGUGGGUGAAUUUUGGCCCAUUUCUCCUGACAGAGCUGGUGUAACUGAGUUAGGUUUGUAGGCCUCCUUGCUCGCAUGUGCUUUUUCAGUUCUGCCCACAAAUGUUCUAUGGGAUUGAGGUCAAGGCUUUGUGAUGGCCACUCCAAUACAUUGACUUUGUUGUCCUUAAGCCAUUUUUCCACAACUUUGGAAGUACGCUCGUAUGGGCGGCAGGUAGCCUAAUGGUUAGAGCGUUGGACUAGUAACCAAAAGGUUGUAAGAUUGAAUCCCUGAGCUGACAAGGUAAAACAUCUGUUGUUCUGCCCCUGAACAAGGCAGUUAACCCACUGUUCCUAGGCCAUCAUUGAAAAUAAGAAUUUGUUCUUAACUGACUUGCCUAGUUAAAUAAAGGUUAAAAAAAAUUGUCCAUUUGGAAGACCCAAGCUUUAACUUCCUGACUGAUGUCUUGAGAUGUUGCUUCAAUAUAUCCACAUACUUUUCCUUCCACAUGAUGCCAUCGAUUUUGUGAAGUGCAGCAAAGCACCCCCACAACAUGAUGCUGCCACCUCCGUGCUUCAUAGUUGGGAUGGUGUACUUCGGCUUGCAAGCCUCGCCCUUUUUCCUCCAAACAUAAUGAGGGUCAUUAUGGCCAAACAGUUCUAUUUUUGUUUCAUCAGACCAGAGGACAUUUCUCCAAAAAGUACAAUCUUUGCCCCCAUGUGCAGUUGCAAACCGUAGUCUGGCUUUUUUAUGGCGGUUUUGUAGCAGUGGCUUCUUCUUUGCUGAGCGGCCUUUCAGGUUAUGUCGAUAUAGGACUCAUUUUACUGUGGAUAUAGAUACUUUUGCACCCGUUUCCUCCAGCAUCUUCACAAGGUCCUUUGCUGUUGUUCUGGGAUUGAUAUGCACCAAAGUACGUUCAUCUCUAGGGGACAGAACACGUCUCCUUUCUAAGCGAUAUGACGGCUGCGUGGUCCCAUGGUGUUUAUACUUGC
RNAcentral lists this long non-coding RNA (1327 nucleotides) under Salmo salar (Atlantic salmon). RNAcentral's name for it is "lncRNA (ENSSSAG00000095775.1)". The record is from RNAcentral. Lineage: Eukaryota; Metazoa; Chordata; Actinopteri; Salmoniformes; Salmonidae.